ACGGUGAGUAACACGUAUCCAACCUGCCGUCUACUCUUGGACAGCCUUCUGAAAGGAAGAUUAAUACAAGAUGGCAUCAUGAGUUCACAUGUUCACAUGAUUAAAGGUAUUCCGGUAGACGAUGGGGAUGCGUUCCAUUAGAUAGUAGGCGGGGUAACGGCCCACCUAGUCUUCGAUGGAUAGGGGUUCUGAGAGGAAGGUCCCCCACAUUGGAACUGAGACACGGUCCAA
RNAcentral lists this ribosomal RNA (231 nucleotides) under uncultured bacterium. RNAcentral's name for it is "partial 16S ribosomal RNA". It matches the Rfam family "Bacterial small subunit ribosomal RNA", at positions 105 to 334 of the family's 1533-position model. The record is from RNAcentral.